RNAcentral lists this ribosomal RNA (468 nucleotides) under uncultured bacterium. RNAcentral describes it as "partial 16S ribosomal RNA". It matches the Rfam family "Bacterial small subunit ribosomal RNA", at positions 28 to 507 of the family's 1533-position model. The record is from RNAcentral.
GAUGAACGCUGGCGGCGUGCUUAACACAUGCAAGUCGAACGGAAAGGCCGAAGCUUGCUUCGGUACUCGAGUGGCGAACGGGUGAGUAACACGUGGGUGAUCUGCCCUGUACUUCGGGAUAAGCUUGGGAAACUGGGUCUAAUACCGGAUAUGACGAUCUCUUGGAUGUGGUUGUGGAAAGCUUUUGCGGUAUGGGAUGAGCUCGCGGCCUAUCAGCUUGUUGGUGGGGUAAUGGCCUACCAAGGCGUCGACGGGUAGCCGGCCUGAGAGGGUGUACGGCCACAUUGGGACUGAGAUACGGCCCAGACUCCUACGGGAGGCAGCAGUGGGGAAUAUUGCACAAUGGGCGCAAGCCUGAUGCAGCGACGCCGCGUGGGGGAUGACGGCCUUCGGGUUGUAAACUCCUUUCGCAAUCGACGAAGCCUUUUGGUGACGGUAGGUUGAGAAGAAGCACCGGCUAACUACGUG